This 497-nucleotide ribosomal RNA is filed under the name uncultured bacterium. RNAcentral's name for it is "partial 16S ribosomal RNA". It matches the Rfam family "Bacterial small subunit ribosomal RNA", at positions 28 to 507 of the family's 1533-position model. The record is from RNAcentral.
GAUGAACGCUGGCGGCGUGCCUAAUACAUGCAAGUCGAGCGAACGGACGAGAAGCUUGCUUCUCUGAUGUUAGCGGCGGACGGGUGAGUAACACGUGGAUAACCUACCUAUAAGACUGGGAUAACUUCGGGAAACCGGAGCUAAUACCGGAUAAUAUUUUGAACCGCAUGGUUCAAAAGUGAAAGACGGUCUUGCUGUCACUUAUAGAUGGAUCCGCGCUGCAUUAGCUAGUUGGUAAGGUAACGGCUUACCAAGGCAACGAUGCAUAGCCGACCUGAGAGGGUGAUCUGCCACACUGGAACUGAGACACGGUCCAGACUCCUACGGGAGGCAGCAGUAGGGAAUCUUCCGCAAUGGGCGAAAGCCUGACGGAGCAACGCCGCGUGAGUGAUGAAGGUCUUCGGAUCGUAAAACUCUGUUAUUAGGGAAGAACAUAUGUGUAAUUAACUGUGCACAUCUUGACGGUACCUAAUCAGAAAGCCACGGCUAACUACGUG